AUGGAAGGCUCUUUUCCUCACUUUUCUCAUCUGUGCUCUUCUGGGUUCGGUUGUGUUCAUCCUCUACAAAUACAGAGAGAAACUAACAGGGAAGAAACCAGCUAAAGAAAUUUGUGAGGAGGAAACUAUGGAGAGACUGACAAAAGAAGGAACAAAUGCAGAAGAACCGAAGAAAGUACCAG
Molecule: long non-coding RNA, 182 nt
Organism: Sinocyclocheilus grahami
Lineage: Eukaryota; Metazoa; Chordata; Actinopteri; Cypriniformes; Cyprinidae
Exons: 4
Source: RefSeq, a predicted model, not a curated record